RNAcentral lists this long non-coding RNA (503 nucleotides) under Struthio camelus australis. RNAcentral's name for it is "lncRNA (ENSSCUG00000011225.1)". Lineage: Eukaryota; Metazoa; Chordata; Aves; Struthioniformes; Struthionidae. The record is from RNAcentral.
UUGUCAACAUAUUAAGGAAGCUCAGAGCUAAAGGAAACUAAUGGGGUAGUUUUCGCUCCAUAAUCCUGGGAGGGUGUGAGAUGAGUUUUCCUCUUCCAUGUGAUAACACCUCCUUUCCUGUGUAGAUGCAGAAGUCAAAGUCUUCCUGGAGGUGCUCAUUUCCAGAAACCUGAGAGUGGAAACGCCCUUGGAAAGUGAAGAAGCCGUUCAGAAAUCACAUUUCCCAGCUGGGAGUGCACGCUGUAUAAAAUACUCCAGUGUAAUAAAACCAGAUGCAGGAAGAAGAACAAGAAUCUCAGUACCAGACCUGUCAUGGGCAGGGAAUUUGACUCUGACCAUCCCUACUCAACACAGCGCUAGAUGAAGAAAAAAAGGUAACAUUUCUAUUCUGUCCCGAGAGACUGCGAUUCCUUUGCUGUAACAGAUCUCCACAACAAAAUCUCCCGGUUUUCGAGCUCUGGAAUUACCGCUUGUUGAGCAGUCCACAGUUUUCAUACAUGAUG